UACGGGGGGAGCAAGCGUUGUUCGGAAUUACUGGGCGUAAAGCGUGCGCAGGCGGUUGGUUAAGUCUGAUGUGAAAGCCCCGGGCUCAACUUGGGAAUGGCAUUGGAAACUGGCUGGCUAGAGUGUGGCAGAGGGGGGUGGAAUUCCGCGUGUAGCAGUGAAAUGCGCAGAUAUCGGGAGGAACACCGGUGGCGAAGGCGGUUCUCUGGGCCUUACCUGACACUGAGGAGCGAAAGCGUGGGGAGCGAACAGG
This 253-nucleotide ribosomal RNA is filed under the name uncultured bacterium. RNAcentral describes it as "partial 16S ribosomal RNA". It matches the Rfam family "Bacterial small subunit ribosomal RNA", at positions 524 to 776 of the family's 1533-position model. The record is from RNAcentral.